This 64-nucleotide transfer RNA is filed under the name Actinomycetota bacterium. RNAcentral's name for it is "Actinobacteria bacterium tRNA-Ser". Lineage: Bacteria; Bacillati; Actinomycetota. The record is from RNAcentral.
GGCGCGGGACGUGCUUGAACGCUCUUACAAGGCGAAGGUCGGGGGUUCGAGUCCCUCAGCGCCA